RNAcentral lists this ribosomal RNA (460 nucleotides) under Salmonella enterica. RNAcentral's name for it is "bacterial SSU rRNA". It matches the Rfam family "Bacterial small subunit ribosomal RNA", at positions 1 to 456 of the family's 1533-position model. Lineage: Bacteria; Pseudomonadati; Pseudomonadota; Gammaproteobacteria; Enterobacterales; Enterobacteriaceae. The record is from RNAcentral.
AAAUUGAAGAGUUUGAUCAUGGCUCAGAUUGAACGCUGGCGGCAGGCCUAACACAUGCAAGUCGAACGGUAACAGGAAGCAGCUUGCUGCUUUGCUGACGAGUGGCGGACGGGUGAGUAAUGUCUGGGAAACUGCCUGAUGGAGGGGGAUAACUACUGGAAACGGUGGCUAAUACCGCAUAACGUCGCAAGACCAAAGAGGGGGACCUUCGGGCCUCUUGCACAUCAGAUGUGCCCAGAUGGGAUUAGCUUGUUGGUGAGGUAACGGCUCACCAAGGCGACGAUCCCUAGCUGGUCUGAGAGGAUGACCAGCCACACUGGAACUGAGACACGGUCCAGACUCCUACGGGAGGCAGCAGUGGGGAAUAUUGCACAAUGGGCGCAAGCCUGAUGCAGCCAUGCCGCGUGUAUGAAGAAGGCCUUCGGGUUGUAAAGUACUUUCAGCGGGGAGGAAGGUGUUG